GGCCCUUCCGCCAUAUCACGGAAGGUCAUACCUGCACAAUGCCUCGAGGGGUCAAUUGCCGCGGUAGCCUGACCGUGCUAAGGUAGCGUAAUCAAUAGCCUAUUAAUUGUUGGCCUGUAUCAAUGGUCUCACGCUGGCGGCGCUGUCUCUUCGGUACUUAUUCGAAUUUAACCUGAGGGUGAAAAGGCCCUAAUAAAACUGAAAGACGAUUAGACCCUAUCGAACUUUGGGAAGACUGUUCUGCUAAGGGGUAACUCCCAUGACAAACAGAAAACCUUUGGUUGGGGAAACCGGGAGCCAUACAAAACGCUCGCCCACCACCUACACUCAUCACGAGCGACCCUGCGGUGUUGACCGCUUUCAAAGAGCUCGGGAAGCCAGAGACACGGCAGAGGGCUCUUACUUCAUUUGCCCGACGGAUACCUAAUUUAUAGUAUUAAAAGAAAAUGACAGCGCACAGCUGGCUCAUAUAAUGGACCCGACAAAGGCCUCACCAUGGGUACCCCUACUGUGCGUCCCGGGCCACAGAAAGACACUCGGGGCCUAAAGUUGCGAAUAGGGAAGAGUUACCGUAGGGAUAACAGCGUA
Molecule: ribosomal RNA, 588 nt
Filed under: Notoacmea elongata
Lineage: Eukaryota; Metazoa; Mollusca; Gastropoda; Acmaeidae
Description: partial 16S ribosomal RNA
Rfam family: Bacterial large subunit ribosomal RNA
Source: RNAcentral